Molecule: ribosomal RNA, 491 nt
Filed under: uncultured bacterium
Lineage: Bacteria
Description: partial 16S ribosomal RNA
Rfam family: Bacterial small subunit ribosomal RNA
Source: RNAcentral
AGUGAACGCUGGCGGUAGGCCUAACACAUGCAAGUCGAACGGCAGCACAGUAAGAGCUUGCUCUUACGGGUGGCGAGUGGCGGACGGGUGAGGAAUACAUCGGAAUCUACUUUUUCGUGGGGGAUAACGUAGGGAAACUUACGCUAAUACCGCAUACGACCUACGGGUGAAAGCAGGGGAACUUCGGACCUUGCGCGAUUGAAUGAGCCGAUGUCGGAUUAGCUAGUUGGCGGGGUAAAGGCCCACCAAGGCGACGAUCCGUAGCUGGUCUGAGAGGAUGAUCAGCCAAACUGGAACUGAGACACGGUCCAGACUCCUACGGGAGGCAGCAGUGGGGAAUAUUGGACAAUGGGCGCGAGCCUGAUCCAGCCAUACCGCGUGGGUGAAGAAGGCCUUCGGGUUGUAAAGCCCUUUUGUUGGGAAAGAAAAGCAGCAGGUUAAUACCCCGCUGUUCUGACGGUACCCAAAGAAUAAGCACCGGCUAACUUCGU